CGGGGUGUAGCGCAGUUGGCAGCGCGCAGCGUUCGGGACGCUGAGGCCGUGAGUUCAAGUCUCACCACCCCGA
Molecule: transfer RNA, 73 nt
Filed under: Chloroflexota bacterium
Lineage: Bacteria; Bacillati; Chloroflexota
Also listed under: 1 other name
Description: Chloroflexi bacterium tRNA-Pro
Rfam family: tRNA
About the family: Transfer RNA (tRNA) molecules are approximately 80 nucleotides in length. Their secondary structure includes four short double-helical elements and three loops (D, anti-codon, and T loops). Further hydrogen bonds mediate the characteristic L-shaped molecular structure. tRNAs have two regions of fundamental functional importance: the anti-codon, which is responsible for specific mRNA codon recognition, and the 3' end, to which the tRNAs corresponding amino acid is attached (by aminoacyl-tRNA synthetases). tRNAs cope with the degeneracy of the genetic code in two manners: having more than one tRNA (with a specific anti-codon) for a particular amino acid; and 'wobble' base-pairing, i.e. permitting non-standard base-pairing at the 3rd anti-codon position.
Source: RNAcentral